AUUGAACGCUGGCGGAAUGCUUUACACAUGCAAGUCGAGGGGUAGCAGGAUUAAGCUUGCUUAAUUGCUGACGACCGGCGCACGGGUGCGUAACGCGUAUGCAACCUACCUUAUACUGGGGUAUAGCCCGGAGAAAUUCGGAUUAAUCCCCCAUAGUACUAAUGAAUCGCAUGGUUUAUUAGUUAAAGCAUUGCGGUAUAAGAUGGGCAUGCGUCCUAUUAGCUAGAUGGUGAGGUAACGGCUCACCAUGGCUACGAAAGGUAGGGGGCCUGAGAGGGUGGUCCCCCACACUGGUACUGAGACACGGACCAGACUCCUCCGGGAGGCAGCAGUGAGGAAUAUUGGUCAAUGGGCGCAAGCCUGAACCAGCCAUGCCGCGUGCAGGAAGAAUGCCCUAUGGGUUGUAAACUGCUUUUAUUUGGGAAUAAACCUCUUUACGUGUAGAGAGCUGAAGGUACCAAAUGAAUAAGCACCGGCUAACUCCGUGCCAGCCGCCGCCGUAA
RNAcentral lists this ribosomal RNA (503 nucleotides) under uncultured bacterium. Its description in RNAcentral is "partial 16S ribosomal RNA". It matches the Rfam family "Bacterial small subunit ribosomal RNA", at positions 30 to 523 of the family's 1533-position model. The record is from RNAcentral.